This 491-nucleotide ribosomal RNA is filed under the name uncultured bacterium. RNAcentral describes it as "partial 16S ribosomal RNA". It matches the Rfam family "Bacterial small subunit ribosomal RNA", at positions 29 to 506 of the family's 1533-position model. The record is from RNAcentral.
AGUGAACGCUGGCGGUAGGCCUAACACAUGCAAGUCGAACGGCAGCACAGUAAGAGCUUGCUCUUACGGGUGGCGAGUGGCGGACGGGUGAGGAAUACAUCGGAAUCUACUUUUUCGUGGGGGAUAACGUAGGGAAACUUACGCUAAUACCGCAUACGACCUACGGGUGAAAGCAGGGGAUCUUCGGACCUUGCGCGAUUGAAUGAGCCGAUGUCGGAUUAGCUAGUUGGCGGGGUAAAGGCCCACCAAGGCGACGAUCCGUAGCUGGUCUGAGAGGAUGCUCCGCCAAAUGGGAAUUGAGAAACGGUCCAGGCCCCGCGGGGGGGCAGGAGUGGGGAAUUUUGGACAAGGGGCGAAAGCCUGAUCCAGCCAAACCGGGGGGGUGAAGAAGGCCUGCGGGUUGUAAAGCCCUUUUGUUGGGAAAGAAAAGCAGCAGGUUAAUCCCCCGCUGUUCUGACGGUACCAAAAGAAAAAGCCCCGGCUAACUUCGU